AUUGAACGCUGGCGGCAGGCCUAACACAUGCAAGUCGGGCGGAUGAAGGGAGCUUGCUCCUGGAUUCAGCGGCGGACGGGUGAGUAAUGCCUAGGAAUCUGCCUGGUAGUGGGGGAUAACGUCCGGAAACGGGCGCUAACACCGCAUACGUCCUGAGGGAGAAAGUGGGGGAUCUUCGGACCUCACGCUAUCAGAUGAGCCUAGGUCGGAUUAGCUAGUUGGUGGGGUAAAGGCCUACCAAGGCGACGAUCCGUAACUGGUCUGAGAGGAUGAUCAGUCACACUGGAACUGAGACACGGUCCAGACUCCUACGGGAGGCAGCAGUGGGGAAUAUUGGACAAUGGGCGAAAGCCUGAUCCAGCCAUGCCGCGUGUGUGAAGAAGGUCUUCGGAUUGUAAAGCACUUUAAGUUGGGAGGAAGGGCAGUAAGUUAAUACCUUGCUGUUUUGACGUUACCAACAGAAUAAGCACCGGCUAACUUCGUG
Molecule: ribosomal RNA, 484 nt
Filed under: uncultured bacterium
Lineage: Bacteria
Description: partial 16S ribosomal RNA
Rfam family: Bacterial small subunit ribosomal RNA
Source: RNAcentral